AAAAUGGCAAUGUGUUGGAGCUAUUGACAAUUUGACAUCACUCAAUAUCUGUUCAGAUAUAUAUUUGCCUAGCCCAGGGAUAUUGAAUGCAACAUUUGGUUGAAGCUUUUGAAAGAAUGGGCAUACCAGUGAUCCUUUUCUUGAUUCUCUAAAGCAUAUUGUUUGAUUGAGCUAAACUUGGAACGUGUCACCAAACUUGAGAUCUAGAACAUGUUGCUCCUAGCAGGGCCCAAAUAUAAUCAAAAUAAACAUGUAGGUUUUUAGUGUUGCUGCUGUAUUGUUCUGCUAGAUGUUUGAUGUGUGUUGCUGCGAGUUUGUGGAUUGCGGGCUUCUUGGUGAUGUGUGCCUGCUCGAGUGCAUUGGUGGUCUGUGUGGUGGAUGCAGCCAUUGCUGCAUGUUUUUUUUGUAUCAUGAUGUUCUCUUUUUGGGUAUGGAAGGCUUAGGUGUUUUUUAGGCUGUUGUUUCUUUGUUGGGGUAGAUUUUUCAGAAAUUGUUUGGUGGUGGUGGCCCCGUUGUAUGUAGACCGACUAUCGUGGCUUACUGGCUUGCGUUCCAGUUGCCACCGCUCAACAAGGAGAAGAAGGGUAGUCCACCACGUACACGUAAAUGCCUCAUGCGUAGCUCUUUCAAUGCAUUGAUGCUCUCAUCGCAUUUUAUAUCAUUCUCUGUGCUCACAGUAUGCAGGAGAUUCUUCCUGUCAUCACGGGGCUUGAGAGAGAGGAAGGGAUACAUGUCGGCCUCUAUGCGCAUUGCGCACAAGGGUUGCUGGUCAGAAUUAGUGUUUAUGGGAGUCCAUUCAUCUGAUUUUCAACAAAAAUAAUUAUGAGAUACUCUGAGUAAUGAGGCUUAAAUUCAAUCUUUGAUUUCCCUAUUUCAACUGUAAAAUGUUUAUAUUAGCUAUUAGAAGUGGGUCCUGUUUAUUUCAUGCCUUAUUUACCGUGUUCUGUCCAGCUCUUUUUUUGAGUUGGAGAAGUGAAAGGAACUAAAGAAGAAAAUGGUAAUUCUUGGGUCGAUCUGCUAUGCUUUUGUAUUUGAGAGCGGCUGAUAGAAUCUUAGGUAGGAUAUAGCUAAUGAUUGGAUGCAUAAGAGAACUGUCAUACUCGGUACUACAUACUUUCUCCAGUUUGAACAAGUUAUCUGAACAAUACAAUAGCUGAAUGAUUUGCUUGUAUGUUUCUCUUCAAGUUAGAGAGGAAGAUUUUGAUGUGAAUUUCUGGAUAAAAUCCCUGAUUUCUCUUACUUGGAUUCAGAUCACCAUAUGCUGAAUCGGAUUUCUUUAACAAGGUUUGAAAAAAGGCAAGUGGAAAAUUGUCACCACUUCAGCAACUGCAGCGUAUGUUUUCUCAGAAAGAAACUUUAAGGAGGAGGAUGUAGGAACUAUUUGAACCUGCUUGUACGAUAAUGGAUUUUCUUGCCAUUUUGAUCCUGCUACCUGAACUGUAUGUCACUGCUUGCCAGAUUGAUCAUUGCGGAUGAGAUGGACUACUUAAUAACACGAGACCUGGCUGUGCUACAUGACGUUUUCAUGCUUACCAACCACCAGUUCUCAAGAUGCAUACUAAUAGGUUCGUUUUCUGCGAUACUCACACCUACAAUGUA
Aegilops tauschii subsp. strangulata is the source of this 1599-nucleotide non-coding RNA. NCBI's taxonomy places the organism in Eukaryota, Viridiplantae, Streptophyta, Magnoliopsida, Poales, Poaceae. The record is from RefSeq and is a predicted model, not a curated record.